This is a long non-coding RNA of Hemicordylus capensis (graceful crag lizard), 291 nucleotides long. RefSeq lists it as uncharacterized. NCBI's taxonomy places the organism in Eukaryota, Metazoa, Chordata, Lepidosauria, Squamata, Cordylidae. The record is from RefSeq and is a predicted model, not a curated record. The transcript is spliced from 2 exons.
CACGAACUUAGAGAAACAGUCAUCUCUAUCCUGGAGGAGGCCUACCCUGGUUUUGUGACAAAACAGUUUUGCUGAAUGUGCUGCAAGCACGAGCCAUGCGGAAAGCUGCAAAGGAGAAAGAAGAGAAUGGGGAGAGCAGCUGGCUUCCGCACUGAGGGAGAACCCAGCCAGGAAUGGCAACAUCAGUGACUGCCCGGGCUUUUGUGUGCAGGCUGAUGCCUCGCCUGGCGUAGGAUGCUCACCAGGGCUCAACAUCGCUUUCACAGCACAUUAAUAAAAGAGCUGAUGGUU